Molecule: unclassified non-coding RNA, 337 nt
Filed under: soil metagenome
Description: partial contains 5.8S ribosomal RNA, internal transcribed spacer 2, and large subunit ribosomal RNA
Rfam family: 5.8S ribosomal RNA (bases 1-120)
Source: RNAcentral
GAUGAAGAACGUAGCGAAAUGCGAUAAGUAAUGUGUAUUGCAGAAUUCAGUGAAUCAUCGAAUCUUUGAACGCACAUUGCGCCCGCCAGUAUUCUGGCGGGCAUGCCUGUUCGAGCGUCAUUUCAACCAUCAAGCCCCCCGGCUUGUGUUGGGGACCUGCGGCUGCCGCAGGCCCUGAAAAGCAGUGGCGGGCUCGCUGUCACACCGAGCGUAGUAGAUCUCAUCUCGCUCAGGGCGUGCUGCGGGUUCCGGCCGUUAAACCACCUUCAUAACCCAAGGUUGACCUCGGAUCAGGUAGGAAGACCCGCUGAACUUAAGCAUAUCAAUAAGCGGAGGA